CUUGGGCGGACUCCCCGGGAACUGGGGCCAAUUUCCGAUAGGUGAAGAACCCUGGAAUGAGUCUUCGCCCAAAAGACGUUUGGGGCAUGCUUCUAGACGUUGCCCAAGGAUGGGGCCGCGGCCGAUCAGGUUGUUGGUGAGGUAACGGCUCACCAAGCCUAUUACCGGUACGGGCCGUGGGAGCGGUAGCCCGGAGAUGGGCACUGAGACAAGGGCCCAGGCCCUACGGGGCGCAGCAGUCGCGAAAACUUCGCAAUAAGCGAAAGCUUGACGGGGCUAUCCCGAGUGCCGUCUGCUGAGGAUGGCUUUUACCUAGUAUAGAUAGCUGGGGGAAUAAGGAGAGGGCAAGUCUGGUGUCAGCCGCCGCGGUAAUACCAGCUCUCCGAGUUGUGGGGAUAUUUAUUGGGCCUAAAGCAUCCGUAGCCGGCUGAACAAGUCCCCUGUUAAAUCCAGCGACGAAUCGUUGGCCUGCGGGGGAUACUGCUCGGCUAGGGGGCGGGAGAGGCCGUCGGUAUUCUUGGGGUAGGGGUGAAAUCCUAUAAUCCCAGGAGGACCACCAGUGGCGAAGGCUGUCGGCUAGAACGCGCCCGACGGUGAGGGAUGAAAGCUGGGGGAGCGAACCGGAUUAGAUACCCGGGUAGUCCCAGCUGUAAACGAUGCAGGCUAGGUGUUAGGGCGGCUACGUGCCGCUCUAGUGCCGCAGGGAAGCUGUUAAGCCUGCCGCCUGGGAGUACGGCCGCAAGGCUGAAACUUAAAGGAAUUGGCGGGGGAGCAC
Molecule: ribosomal RNA, 775 nt
Filed under: uncultured archaeon
Lineage: Archaea
Description: bacterial SSU rRNA
Rfam family: Archaeal small subunit ribosomal RNA
Source: RNAcentral